RNAcentral lists this ribosomal RNA (840 nucleotides) under Streptomonospora sp. ZZY-2013. Its description in RNAcentral is "bacterial SSU rRNA". It matches the Rfam family "Bacterial small subunit ribosomal RNA", at positions 77 to 915 of the family's 1533-position model. The record is from RNAcentral. Lineage: Bacteria; Bacillati; Actinomycetota; Actinomycetes; Streptosporangiales; Nocardiopsidaceae.
CCUUCGGGGUACACGAGCGGCGAACGGGUGAGUAACACGUGAGCAACCUGCCCCUGACUCCGGGAUAAGCCGGGGAAACCCGGUCUAAUACCGGAUAGGGACGCCUCGUCGCAUGGCGGGGUGUGGAAAGGUUUUUUCCGGUCAGGGAGGGGCUCGCGGCCUAUCAGCUUGUUGGUGGGGUGAAGGCCUACCAAGGCGAUUACGGGUAGCCGGCCUGAGAGGGCGACCGGCCACACUGGGACUGAGACACGGCCCAGACUCCUACGGGAGGCAGCAGUGGGGAAUAUUGCGCAAUGGGCGGAAGCCUGACGCAGCGACGCCGCGUGGGGGAUGACGGCCUUCGGGUUGUAAACCUCUUUUACCACCGACGCAGGCCCGCGCUUCUGUGCGGGUUGACGGUAGGUGGGGAAUAAGGACCGGCCAACUACGUGCCAGCAGCCGCGGUAAUACGUAGGGUCCGAGCGUUGUCCGGAAUUAUUGGGCGUAAAGAGCUCGUAGGUGGUGUGUCGCGUCUGCUGUGUAAGUCCGGGGCUUAACUCCGGUUUUGCAGUGGAUACGGGCAUGCUAGAGGUAGGCAGGGGAGACUGGAAUUCCUGGUGUAGCGGUGAAAUGCGCAGAUAUCAGGAGGAACACCGGUGGCGAAGGCGGGUCUCUGGGCCUUACCUGACGCUGAGGAGCGAAAGCGUGGGGAGCGAACAGGAUUAGAUACCCUGGUAGUCCACGCUGUAAACGUUGGGCGCUAGGUGUGGGGACCUUCCACGGUUUCCGUGCCGUAGCUAACGCAUUAAGCGCCCCGCCUGGGGAGUACGGCCGCAAGGCUAAAACUCAAAGGAAUUGACG